GUGCUUGCUUUGGCAGCACAUAUACUAAAAUUAGAACAAUACGGAGAAAAUUAGCAUGACUCCUGCAAAAGGAUGACAUAUGAAUUAGUAAAGCGUUUCAUUAAAAA
Pteronotus mesoamericanus is the source of this 107-nucleotide small nuclear RNA. Lineage: Eukaryota; Metazoa; Chordata; Mammalia; Chiroptera; Mormoopidae. The record is from RefSeq and is a predicted model, not a curated record.